Molecule: non-coding RNA, 821 nt
Organism: Neolamprologus brichardi
Lineage: Eukaryota; Metazoa; Chordata; Actinopteri; Cichliformes; Cichlidae
Source: RefSeq, a predicted model, not a curated record
AAAGUGAUUCGGGAUGUCAACAAAUGUCGAGAAACUCACUCCUCACAGCGCUUCCUCAUUACCCUGACGGUGCUCGCUGCACUACAUAGAGAACCGGAAAAUGUUUUGUCCGUUUUGUGGCGUUAGCUUCAGCCUCUUCACCCCUUUUUGUGCUUCCUGUGGACGUUCUCUGGAGCUUUUGCGGCACACAGACCAGGCUGAAGGGUCAGACUCCCCAGGGACAUCAAAACAAACAGAAAAUUCUGAACAAAAGCAAACAUGUCCGUCAUACAAGCAGUUCAUGGAGUACAAAAGAUCAAAAUCCAUAGAGCGUCAGGCCUUCAGCUGUAGAGCAAAAUUAAAACUCAAGCAACAGAGUAAACCUGUCAAGGAUUAAUGGUGUCACAACAAACGGACUUAAAACCGCUAAGAGGGAAAACACUGCCCUUAUUUAUCAGCCCCGAAAUUACAGCCCCUGACCUCCUGAAGCAGGCUGUAGAAAAAAUGAGAACAUUCAACAAGGACUUGGUGGAGGGACCAUAUGUCCUUUUGUAUCCCGACUGCACAGAGGUGAUAAAUGUGCCUGGGACAGAAAGGCCAUUCCGAUUGGCAGACUACAAAGAGGAAAUAGGAAAGAACUACAACAGGAUUUCUCUUUUCAUUUGCCUAGAGAGCCACUUCAAACAAGGUUCGUUAAUUUUAUAUUUUGAUGUGUUUACAUAUACAGCAACUAAUAAUGUGUUUAUUUUCUCAGCUCUGAUUGCAGAGGAUGGUACCUCAGACUCAGACCCUGAGAUUGUGAUUACAUCAAGAAGCACAGCUGAGUUCAACCAGGCAGACAC